Molecule: ribosomal RNA, 617 nt
Filed under: Blastocystis sp.
Lineage: Eukaryota; Bigyra; Opalinata; Blastocystidae
Description: SSU rRNA
Rfam family: Eukaryotic small subunit ribosomal RNA
Source: RNAcentral
AUUGGGAUAAUCUUGCCAGUAGUCAUAGGCUUGUUUCAAAGAUUAAGCCAUGCAUGUGUAAGUAUAAAUAAUUUUACUUUGAAACUGCGAAUGGCUCAUUAUAUCAGUUAUAGUUUAUUAGAAAUAUUUUACUACUUGGAUAACCGUAGUAAUUCUAGGGCUAAUACAUGAGUAAAACCUCAACUUCGGAAGAGGUGUGUUUAUUAGUAUGAAAACCAUAUAUCUUCGGAUAUAAUAGUGAGUAAUAAUAACCUUUCAUAUCGUAUGUCGUAAGAUAACGAUAGUUCUUUCAAGUUUCUGCCCUAUCAGCUUUCGAUGGUAGUAUAUGGGACUACCAUGGCAGUAACGGGUAACGAAGAAUUUGGGUUCGAUUUCGGAGAGGGAGCCUGAGAGAUGGCUACCACAUCCAAGGAAGGCAGCAGGCGCGUAAAUUACCCAAUCCUGACAUAGGGAGGUAGUGACAAUAAAUCACAAUGCGGAACUUUUAGUUUUGCAAUUGGAUUGAGAACAAUGUACAAAUGUUAUCGAUAAACAAUUGGAGGGCAAGUCUGGUGCCAGCAGCCGCGGUAAUUCCAGCUCCAAUAACGUAUAUUAACGUUGUUGCAGUUAAAAAGCUC